CUAGAGUUUUGAUCCUGGCUCAGAUUGAACGCUAGCGGGAUGCCUUACACAUGCAAGUCGAACGGCAGCACGGACUUCGGUCUGGUGGCGAGUGGCGAACGGGUGAGUAAUGUAUCGGAACGUGCCUAGUAGCGGGGGAUAACUACGCGAAAGCGUAGCUAAUACCGCAUACGCCCUACGGGGGAAAGCAGGGGAUCGCAAGACCUUGCACUAUUAGAGCGGCCGAUAUCGGAUUAGCUAGUUGGUGGGGUAACGGCUCACCAAGGCGACGAUCCGUAGCUGGUUUGAGAGGACGACCAGCCACACUGGGACUGAGACACGGCCCAGACUCCUACGGGAGGCAGCAGUGGGGAAUUUUGGACAAUGGGGGAAACCCUGAUCCAGCCAUCCCGCGUGUGCGAUGAAGGCCUUCGGGUUGUAAAGCACUUUUGGCAGGAAAGAAACGUCGCGGGUUAAUACCCCGCGAAACUGACGGUACCUGCAGAAUAAGCACCGGCUAACUACGUGCCAGCAGCCGCGGUAAUACGUAGGGUGCAAGCGUUAAUCGGAAUUACUGGGCGUAAAGCGUGCGCAGGCGGUUCGGAAAGAAAGAUGUGAAAUCCCAGAGCUUAACUUUGGAACUGCAUUUUUAACUACCGAGCUAGAGUGUGUCAGAGGGAGGUGGAAUUCCGCGUGUAGCAGUGAAAUGCGUAGAUAUGCGGAGGAACACCGAUGGCGAAGGCAGCCUCCUGGGAUAACACUGACCG
Molecule: ribosomal RNA, 746 nt
Filed under: Achromobacter animicus
Lineage: Bacteria; Pseudomonadati; Pseudomonadota; Betaproteobacteria; Burkholderiales; Alcaligenaceae
Description: bacterial SSU rRNA
Rfam family: Bacterial small subunit ribosomal RNA
Source: RNAcentral